UGGUUGCUUAUGUAAAGCUGUAUUUGAACAAUGGAUAAUACGGAUAGGAACAAACUAAAGAAAAUAUGUUUACUACAACAAACCUGGAAUAUAAGGGACAAUAACGGUGUGGCGUGGGGACGUGGUCAUGUGUCGGUUUGCGGGAGAGAGAGAGCGAGCCUAGACCUGACCAAUUGAAGCAACCCCAGAUCAUAACACUGCCUCCAGUUUGUACAGUGAGCACUAUGCAUGAUGGGUGCAUCGCUUCAUGUGCUUCCCUUCUUUACCUGGCACGUACAUCGCUUUGGAAUAGGGAUUCAUAUUCUGAGGUUAAAAGAGCCUGUCAGAUCCAGCUCUGUUCCUGCUUGGUGUCGCACUCUACUGCUACAUGUCGCUGAGAGAUGACAACAUACUACAUCUGGUGCUAGCCAGACAUCACUUCAGAUUUUUUACUUCAGAGGAUGAACUGAUGCCAACUCCAACUGUAAGACAUCAGUAUUUCAUAUGCCACUGCCUGAACCUUGGAGUUAUCUCUGCCUGCAUCACCUUUGUCUAUUGAUGGACUACACUCUUUAAAUGGAAUACAUAGACUAUAAUUGAAUUGCCAACAAAUGCCUUCAUCAGCCAACAAACAAAGGACAAUGCAUCUAUGUGAACAUCUGCAGUUAAUCCAGGAUGGACUUCAAAGACAUUAUUCAUUAAUCUUAGUUCAUAAAAAAAAUAUUUUUAUUUUUAAAAGACCGGACCUUAAUGCUUGCUUAAUUUACAAAUUAAUAUAAAACCAUGACUUGCACUGCACAUAAAUAACUAAUACUGGCAUUAUAUUCAUGUUGCUUAAACAGAGGAGAACUGGCCCCCACUGUGAGCCUGGUUUCUCCCAAGGUUAUUUUUCUCCAUUAACCAACAUCUUAUAGAGUUAUGUGUUGUGAA
Molecule: long non-coding RNA, 909 nt
Organism: Xyrauchen texanus (razorback sucker)
Lineage: Eukaryota; Metazoa; Chordata; Actinopteri; Cypriniformes; Catostomidae
Exons: 3
Source: RefSeq, a predicted model, not a curated record